UUCAUUUAAAAAAUCAUUUUUCCUCCCAUCCACCCACCCCAAAAAAACACGUCAAAACCAAGCCAACCCCCCGACCCCACCCCCCCACAANNNNNNNNNNNNNNNNNNNUUUCCCUCUCACUCCAAAUAACUUACGGCCGCCAUCCACCACCAAGCUUUCCAGAUCCAAACAAUAUUAGUUUUUUUUUUUAAAUAAAAUAUUAUUUUUUGCGAAUUUCGCCCCACAUAUCUUUAAUUUGUGCUUAAUGAGUUUUAUAAUGAAAUUUAAUUUUAUUUUUGGCUUCUAAUUUUGUGAUUAGUGCUGGUGUUUGCGAGUGAAAUGGGAGUUUGUUAGCAAAGUGUAACAACUUGAAGUUCAAUUGAUAUUAAUUUCCUGAUCUGCAUCUUUAUUUCAGGUAAUCUUUUCUUCUCCUAUAAAUGUUAUUUUUCAAAGACUUAUUUCUUGCUUAUUUUGUUGUUUUGUUAAAUUCUUUGAGUUUGUGCAACUAGCUAGUGAAGCAGCUCUUUUUUUUUUGUUGAUGAAUAAUAGGAAUAUUAGUUGAAUGACAUUUUCCUGAUAAAUUGACUGUUUCUGCUAAUGGAUUUGUGUAAUUUAAUGAAGUAAAGUGUUUUUGGUGUGAAUUUUCUUAGGUUUAAGUUGUCAUGGUUUGAAUUUUCUUAGGUUUAAGUUGUCUUGGUGUAAAUUUAAUUGGGGUUUAGUUCAAUUUGAGAAUUGUUAAUUGACUGUUAUUAAAAUUUGGCUCUUGAAUAGGUGGAUACUGAUUGAAAAUUCUAUAAACAGGUGCAUUAGCAAGUUUGGCUACACUUAGUUGUUUUGGUUGAUAGUCUAUCUGUGCUUCUACUUCAUUAGUUUAAAUUGUGAUGUGCGUGGAGAACAUGACAAUUACUAAUUUAGUGAAUUAGAUGAAAUUUUGACACUGAAGCAUAACUGGAAAAGUCUAGUUUAAAUUACCUUCAUGAUCUGCAAAACAUUGAAGCAUGAUUUUACAUGAAUGAGAUGAAAAUAAAAAGAUUAUACAUUUGUUUAAGAACAAGUGAAUGUCAUUUAUCGAGAAUGGUGUUUUGAAGAUAGAUGAGCUAGGUCUGAAAAGAUAUACUAACUGUAAUUUUCACACUAAAGGGCUAUUGUUUUAUCAAGAUACAGUGGAUGUUGUCGACUUGCUAAGUGUUUGAAUAGAUGUAGAUGUAAUCCAAGAAAAUCUACCGAUUCAAAAACUGCUAUCAAGUCGAUAUAUCUCCAUAAUAUACGAAUUUGUAUCAUUCAAGUAAAUAAUUUACAUUUAAUUGGUGAAGUGUUGCAUCAUUCAAUCUAGUAAGUCGUUUUCCACUGGCACAUCAUUCCUCUAGAGUAUUAGGGGAUACCAUUAAAGUUUGUUUAGUUUUUUUUUUUUGUGUCAUGUAUCACACAUCAGUGAUUACUAUCCUCAUUAGUGUCACCUUAGGUUUGAAUAUCCACUUUGAUAUUCGGAUACAUAAAUUUGACAUGGAUGUCUUCCCAACCUUCUUGAGGAUAUUAAAAUAUUUCAAGUCUUACAAUCUACAAAAACUGAAACAUAUUAGAAGCACUAGCUCUAAAGGCAUUAGUACGAGUGCAAGAAUAUUGUAGUUUUUUUAAAACUGUGCCCGGAUCUAUGUGAUUCAUGGUAUCUGGAGCCAAGUGUGACUUUUCGUUAGAUCUUUCUUUGAGAAGGAAAGACUGGAUCUUUCUUUGGUGAUUUUUAUUGAAUUAUGACUGCUUAGUGAUACCUUAUCCUCAGACAACCGAUAAUUUUGGGGUAUUUAACAUGAGAUGCUAUAAUGAACCGGUGCAUUUUUAUAGAUAUUAUAUAUAUAUCUUUUCAAUAACCAAAAACUCUUACCCGUUGCAUGCUAUAAGGGAAGCAGAUGCAUGCUAGUUAAACACACUUUUCUUUCCCGUUGGUCACCAAUCUAGCAUAUCCGAACAUCCAUCUUAGCAUUAAUUUUUAUUAUUAACAGUGGUGUCCAGGUCAUCUUGCUCCAUCUUAGCAUCAACAUCUUUUUUACAAUCUCAUCUUUUGGAUAUGUUAUGCAUUAGUGACACAAUAUUCACUUACUUAGAGCAUUACAUAUCUCAAGAAUGUCAUAUAGGACUUCCCUUUUUCCAGUAUCUAGGAAUCCAGUGGUUUAUGAAAAAAAUACAGUGAAAUUUUUUCUAGUGUCAUAUGGAAAAAGAAAUACAAAAGCUUUUGAAGACAAAAGCAACAAUGUUAUUAAUCUGAAGCUCAAAUAUUUAUUUUUCCUUAGUCACUUUUGUAACGAUACCACAGGAUAUGCUUUAGAGCCGAAAGAUAUUGUUUGACUUUCUUAGUUCCUUACACACAUUGUGAAGUUCUCUUUUGAAUGCACUUUUGUCUUUUUUUUAUUCUUUCUUCUUUCUCUAUUUUUAGGUUUCUUCUUUCUUCUCUGUUUCUAACAUUAACCACAGCUGUGUGCACACAAAGUUUUUCUUGCUUUGUUUUUUGUCAUGUAUUCUAUAUAUGCUAAUCUAUCCAUUUUUUCUCUUUUAAAUUUUCAAUCUAUUUAGUUUAGGUGUAUACUAAUUACUACACAAAUUUCUGCCUAUAAAUAAUAAGAGAUGGUGUCUUCUGAAUUAUUGCUAGACUUUUAGUAUCUACGUGAGAGAAAUAUAAGAGGAAUAUUAUUGAAUUGUGUAUCUACAUUAUAUAAAGAACCUUUUUGAUACAUAAGUUAUUCAGAAUGAGACAUCAACUUUAGUCAAUAUACAUGCAAUAUUUUUGAUGUUUCAGUCAGUGUUUCGUAAUCAUUGUUUAAUAGCAAUUAAAAUUCAAUUAAUUUUGUUUGCAGGAAAAGGAACUUGGGAGGCCAAUAACUCAGGCUCAUACUGUAACACCCCGUACUUAAUUACGUGCAUUAGUCAUUGUUAUAUGUGUUGGAGUAUAUGUAUUGAUCCUAAGUUAGGUAUAUAUGAGUUUAAGUAUGAGUAUUGAUUAUUUUGAGAUGGUUUCAAGUGUGUAGUUUGAUUAUAGGUGUAUAGGAAUCGACUUUAUUUAUACCGGAAUUUUCCCGUCGAUGGUUCCAUACGAAGGUUAUUGAAUAAGCUUUCCAACGAUAUAAAGAUUUCCAAAAACGGAUAAGUUUCGGAUAUAAGCGAGCUCGUUCGAAACUUUAAAACGGUGGCCGGGAUGUGAACAGUAAAAUGUGCAGGAAACUACUGAGGCCUGCCAGUUUUUUGGGUCAACUUUGAACGAUCAUAACUCCCUCAAUAUAAUGAACUGGUUGAGCUACAAAAGAAAGAUCUCUGAGUCUUCUUUCCAAUGCAAUUGGUUUCAUCCAAAUCCAACAUCUGAGUAAGGAGUUAUGCUCGUUUUACUUCAGCCUCUCAAAACAGAUUUUUAGGGUCAACUUCAAACGAUCAUAACUACUUGUACAGGACGAACUGGGUGGCUUAAUUUAUAUGAAAUGAAAUACCUUUGAAUUAUCUUUCUAACGAUACCAAUUUCACCCAAAUCCGAUAUCGGAGCAAAGAGUUAUGGCCGAUUUACUUUAGCCUAUCAAAACAGUCCACCAUGGACAGAUUCGGAUUUACUUAAAUUUUUAAGGGCAAUAUGGUCAUUUUCCAUCACCUCAUGGACGAAAAUUGGUCAUUAUAUACAUAUACUUAGCCUUAUAUCCACCAUUUAUCAUCCAAAUCAUUGAAGAAUAAGAAACCCUAGCCUAAGUUCAACUCCAAUUAUCUUGUGAUUCAACCGUAGAAAAUCCAAAUUGAUUCCGUAGUUGUGUUCACCGUCUCAAGGGCUUCGAGAAGCACCCCUUAUUUGUGCCAACAGGACUUCGAAAUCAAAAGGGCCAUUUUUUUGGUAAGGAUGUAAAUUAUGUUGGUGUUAUUUAUAUGGAUAUGUAUAUAUAUAUAUGCAUGUGAGCAUAAGAAGUAUGUUAUUUGAUUGUUGUUGAAAGAUGAUUGGAAAUGAUGUUGGAUUAUUCUUGUGCAUGGUUGGAUUAUGUUAAAUUGUGAAGGAAUUUGGGGUGAUGAUGUGGUAUUGAUGAUGUGGUAUUGAAAUGAUGAUUAUAUAUAUAUACACACAUAAACCUAUUGUUCAAGUUGGUUUUUGGAAUGUUUUGCAAAUAUUGGUAGUAUGGAAUUAUGGAAGAGAAUUGUGGUGUUGGGUUGCUAAUACUAGAUGCCAAACAUUUCAUUGUAGAUAAGUGAUUUGUAAAGGCGGGAAGUUGUGUUGAAUUGGUAUCUGAAUCUACAACGAGGUAUGUAAAGCAUACUCUAACAAUGUUCUUUGGCAUGAAAACACCAAUGUUCCAUCAAGUAAGAUUCCGAGG
Molecule: long non-coding RNA, 4311 nt
Filed under: Capsicum annuum
Lineage: Eukaryota; Viridiplantae; Streptophyta; Magnoliopsida; Solanales; Solanaceae
Description: long non-coding RNA (CANN_LNC009145)
Source: RNAcentral